This 439-nucleotide ribosomal RNA is filed under the name uncultured bacterium. RNAcentral's name for it is "partial 16S ribosomal RNA". It matches the Rfam family "Bacterial small subunit ribosomal RNA", at positions 338 to 795 of the family's 1533-position model. The record is from RNAcentral.
CCUACGGGAGGCAGCAGUGGGGGAUAUUGCACAAUGGGGGGAACCCUGAUGCAGCGACGUCGCGUGGGUGAAGGCGCGCCUAGGCGCUUAAAGCCUUAUUGGCAGGGAAGCAGAUGCCGGCACCUGUCCCCGAAGCCACGGCCAACUACGUGCCAGCAGCCGCGGUAAUACGUGGGGCGCACGCGUUAACAGGAUUUAUUGGGUUUAAAGGGUGCGCAGGCGGAAGAUCAAGUCAGCGGUAAAAUUGAUGGGCUCAACCUCGUCGUGCCGUUGAAACUGGUUUUCUUGAGUGAGUGAGAAGUAUGCGGAAGGCGUGGUGUAGCGGUGAAAUGCAUAGAUAUCACGCAGAACUCCGAUUGCGAAGGCAGCAUACCGGCGCUCAACUGACGCUCAUGCACGAAAGUGUGGGUAUCGAACAGGAUUAGAUACCCCAGUAGUC